AUUGAACGCUGGUGGUAUGCUUAACACAUGCAAGUCGAACGGUUUAUUCAAUUAUAUAGUUUUUAACUAUCUAAUUGUAUAGGUAGUGGCGUACGGGUGAGUAACGCGUGGGAAUCUGCCAUAUAGAGGGGGACAACAAUUGGAAACGAUUGCUAAUACCGCAUGAUACUUUAGGAAGAAAUUUUUAAAGUCAAAGGUGGCGCAAGCUGCCGCUGUAUGAUGAGCCUGCGUUGGAUUAGUUUGUUGGUAAGGUAAAGGCUUACCAAGACUAUGAUCCAUAGCUGUUCUGAGAGGAAGAUCAGCCACAUUGGGACUGAGACACGGCCCAG
RNAcentral lists this ribosomal RNA (329 nucleotides) under uncultured bacterium. Its description in RNAcentral is "bacterial SSU rRNA". It matches the Rfam family "Bacterial small subunit ribosomal RNA", at positions 30 to 334 of the family's 1533-position model. The record is from RNAcentral.